RNAcentral lists this small nucleolar RNA (182 nucleotides) under Microcebus murinus (gray mouse lemur). RNAcentral's name for it is "Small nucleolar RNA U3 (ENSMICG00000023082.3)". It matches the Rfam family "Small nucleolar RNA U3", at positions 1 to 189 of the family's 219-position model. Rfam says of the family: Small nucleolar RNAs (snoRNAs) are involved in the processing and modification of rRNA in the nucleolus. There are two main classes of snoRNAs: the box C/D class, and the box H/ACA class. Lineage: Eukaryota; Metazoa; Chordata; Mammalia; Primates; Cheirogaleidae. The record is from RNAcentral.
AAGACUAUAUUUUCAGAGGCCAUUUCUAUAGUUCAUUCCUAGAGAAGUUUCUCUGAAUGUGUAGAGCACUGGAAACCACAAGGAGGAGACUUAACGUUCUCUUGAUCCUGAAGCUGGCUGUUGGUUUCUCUUUGUUGCAGCUGCCACUUGCCGUUGAUGAUUGUUCUCUUCCUCUGUGAGGU